AUAUCAGGAGGAACACCGAUGGCGAAGGCAGGUUACUGGGCAGUUACUGACGCUGAGGAGCGAAAGCAUGGGGAGCGAACGGGAUUAGAUACCCUGGUAGUCCAUGCUGUAAACGGUGGGCGCUAGGUGUGGGCUGUGUGUUUGCAGUCUGUGCCGUAGCUAACGCAUUAAGCGCCCGCCUGGGAGUACGGCCGCAAGGCUAAACUC
RNAcentral lists this ribosomal RNA (207 nucleotides) under uncultured Corynebacterium sp. RNAcentral's name for it is "partial 16S ribosomal RNA". It matches the Rfam family "Bacterial small subunit ribosomal RNA", at positions 694 to 902 of the family's 1533-position model. Lineage: Bacteria; Bacillati; Actinomycetota; Actinomycetes; Mycobacteriales; Corynebacteriaceae. The record is from RNAcentral.